AUUGAACGCUGGCGGCAUGCCUAACACAUGCAAGUCGAACGGUAACGCGGAGAGCUUGCUCUCUGGCGACGAGUGGCGGACGGGUGAGUAAUACUUAGGAAUCUGCCCAGUAGUGGGGGACAACUCGGGGAAACUCGAGCUAAUACCGCAUACGCCCUACGGGGGAAAGCGGGGGAUCUUCGGACCUCGCGCUAUUGGAUGAGCCUAAGUCGGAUUAGCUUGUUGGUGGGGUAACGGCCUACCAAGGCGACGAUCCGUAGCUGGUCUGAGAGGACGAUCAGCCACACUGGGACUGAGACACGGCCCAGACUCCUACGGGAGGCAGCAGUGGGGAAUAUUGGACAAUGGGGGCAACCCUGAUCCAGCAAUGCCGCGUGUGUGAAGAAGGCCUGCGGGUUGUAAAGCACUUUCAGUAGAGAAGAAAAGCUUAAGGUUAAUACCCUUGGGUCUUGACGGUACCUACAGAAGAAGCACCGGCUAAUUCCGUG
This 488-nucleotide ribosomal RNA is filed under the name uncultured bacterium. RNAcentral describes it as "bacterial SSU rRNA". It matches the Rfam family "Bacterial small subunit ribosomal RNA", at positions 30 to 507 of the family's 1533-position model. The record is from RNAcentral.